This 616-nucleotide ribosomal RNA is filed under the name Plantibacter sp. GWS-SE-H149. RNAcentral describes it as "bacterial SSU rRNA". It matches the Rfam family "Bacterial small subunit ribosomal RNA", at positions 62 to 687 of the family's 1533-position model. Lineage: Bacteria; Bacillati; Actinomycetota; Actinomycetes; Micrococcales; Microbacteriaceae. The record is from RNAcentral.
UCGAACGAUGAAGGUGGGAGCUUGCUCCUGCUGGAUCAGUGGCGAACGGGUGAGUAACACGUGAGUAACCUGCCCUUGACUCUGGGAUAAGCGUUGGAAACGACGUCUAAUACCGGAUACGAGCUUCAGCCGCAUGGCUAGGAGUUGGAAAGAAUUUCGGUCAAGGAUGGACUCGCGGCCUAUCAGCUUGUUGGUGAGGUAAUGGCUCACCAAGGCGACGACGGGUAGCCGGCCUGAGAGGGUGACCGGCCACACUGGGACUGAGACACGGCCCAGACUCCUACGGGAGGCAGCAGUGGGGAAUAUUGCACAAUGGGCGCAAGCCUGAUGCAGCAACGCCGCGUGAGGGACGACGGCCUUCGGGUUGUAAACCUCUUUUAGCAGGGAAGAAGCGAAAGUGACGGUACCUGCAGAAAAAGCACCGGCUAACUACGUGCCAGCAGCCGCGGUAAUACGUAGGGUGCAAGCGUUGUCCGGAAUUAUUGGGCGUAAAGAGCUCGUAGGCGGUUUGUCGCGUCUGCUGUGAAAACGCGAGGCUCAACCUCGCGCCUGCAGUGGGUACGGGCAGACUAGAGUGCGGUAGGGGAGAUUGGAAUUCCUGGUGUAGCGGUGGAAU